Molecule: ribosomal RNA, 405 nt
Filed under: uncultured bacterium
Lineage: Bacteria
Description: partial 16S ribosomal RNA
Rfam family: Bacterial small subunit ribosomal RNA
Source: RNAcentral
GACGAACGCUGGCGGCGUGCUUAACACAUGCAAGUCGAGCGGAGCGGCGGACGGGUGAGUAACGCUAGAGUAACUGCACCCCUCCCUGGUAUUACAGUUGGACACGGAUGCUAAUACCGGAUAGUGGGGGAGGACGCGCGGCCUAUCGGCUUGUGGGUGGGGUAGUGGCGUACCAAGCUGACGACGGGUAGCCGGCCUGCGAGGGCGACCGGCCAGAUAGGGCUGAGAUACGGCCGGAACUCCUACGGGAGGCAGCAGUGGAGAAUAUUGCACACUGGGGGAGACCCUGAUGCAGGAGGGCCGCGUGCGUGAUGACGGCCUUCGGGUUGGAAACCGCUUUCAGCCAUGACGCGGUAGUGGCAGAAGAAGCACCGGCUAACUACGUGCCAGCCGCCGCGGUAAUAC